GUAUCUGCCCUUUGGCCUGGAAUAACACGAGGAAACUUGUGCUAAUACCGGAUAAGUCUUUACGGAGAAAGCUUUAUGCACCAUUGGAUGAGCCUGCACUUGAUUAGUUUGUUGGUGGGGUAAUGGCCUACCAAGACUGUGAUCAAUAGCUGAUUUGAGAGGAUGAUCAGCCACAUUGGGACUGAGACACGGCCCAAACUCCUACGGGAGGCAGCAGUGGGGAAUCUUGCACAAUGGAGGAAACUCUGAUGCAGCGAUGCCGCGUGAGUGAAGAAGGCCCUUGGGUUGUAAAGCUCUUUCGUCGGGGAAGAAAAUGACUGUA
RNAcentral lists this ribosomal RNA (322 nucleotides) under uncultured bacterium. RNAcentral describes it as "bacterial SSU rRNA". It matches the Rfam family "Bacterial small subunit ribosomal RNA", at positions 121 to 459 of the family's 1533-position model. The record is from RNAcentral.